This is a long non-coding RNA of Ailuropoda melanoleuca (giant panda), 2979 nucleotides long. RefSeq lists it as uncharacterized. The record is from RefSeq and is a predicted model, not a curated record. The transcript is spliced from 2 exons. Lineage: Eukaryota; Metazoa; Chordata; Mammalia; Carnivora; Ursidae.
UUUGGGGUUCACUAGAUGACAGCAGCAGAAGGAUAGGAUAGCUACGAAGGGGACUCCUUUAUCAUAGGGAACAAAGAUUCAAGAGCAUCAGCUGCAGUAAAUGAAGAGGGAUAAGUUUGAGUGAACUGACUCAAAAAGAAUAUUGUAGACCCAAAUAAUUUUAAACGUGUUUUCAGGGAUUCUUUAGGUGUAGUAUUAACUGUCCAAAAAGUGGGAAGGGGCCCGUUUUAGGUGUUCUGUUGUUUAUCAACAAUUUGGAUUCUAAAUGUUUAUUAUUAAGUUAGAAUAUUUAGAAUUUAAAAACAUUUCUUCAUAGUUUCAAUGUAGAAAUAAUGGUUGGGUUUCCAGGACAGCUUGCACUUGUAGCCAAAGCAGGCAAUAGAAUAGAGUAGGAAAAAACAGUCUGAGUUAGGAGACCAGCUGAGUAUUGCUCUUCAAGUCACUUAAACUCUCUGGGCCACGAUUCUUCAUCUGUAAUGUGAGUUUGAACUACAAUAGAUGGUCCUUCUCAGUUCUAAAAUUCUGUGGUCACAUUCACAGUGGAAGCACUAUAUUUAACACAGGUAUUAUGGGAAAAUGUAGUUUUCAGAUUUGAGCAUGCCUGAAACACAUCUUCCUCCAAACCCAGAAAGGAAAUAGGUACUUCACUACCACAGUUGAGACUCUGUAUCCAGAGAGAGAUCACAAAUUGAAACAUGCUGGUAACAGAUGGUUGCUACACUCUGUGGUGAACAUAGAAUAAUGAAUAGACUUGUGGAAUCACUAUGCUGUAUACCUAAAACUAAUGGAACAUUGUAUCAACUAUACUUCAAUUAAAAAACAAAGGUACUUCAGAAAUACUACUAAGGUUCUAGCAUUAGGGGCUCUUCUCUGUUUAGGAGUAUUUUUUUCUCAAUCUGUUGGGUCCCUAGGAUUACAGAUCCCAGUUGCAGUACUGAGGUUCUGGAGUCAGCUAAGGACAUUCUGGCUUUGGUGCUCCAAAUUCUUGAUUAUGAAAUGGAGAUUUGGGCAUCAUCUCUGCUGUUAGAGAGCUAGGGGAUUCCAGCUUUAUCUCUGAUGCUUGUUCAUAUGUAUUGAUCAUUUGGGACAGCACUACCUAUAGAGUGUUCUCUUGUAGAAUUAAGUGAAGCCUAUUUUUCCUGUGUUUACAAUCCUGGUUUAUUUUGAUUUUUAAUUGCUGGUUUCCUGAAGCAUUCUAAAAGAAAUAUUAUUUUAUUCGCAUUGGUAUAAAAAAUUCUUUUUCCUGCAUUCUUUUAAGUGACCCAAUGAAUAGAUUAACUCUGGAAACACUAUACAGCUGAUGGAUAUGUCUUUUAAUUCAUUUUUUAUUGUAAUAAGGAGAUGGAUGUUUACACAUUCUCUUUACCCUUAUCUUUAAUCCCGUAGAAGUUCCAAGUUUGCUUAAUAGAAUAUGACCUGCAUGUAACUGGGUAUAUUUAUGGAAGGAAGCUUAACAUAAUGCUUAAGUGCCUGGAUUCUGGAGCAAGAUUACCUGGAUUUGAAUCCUAGCUUCACCACUUACCAGCUGUACGACUUUGUGAAUUACCCAACCUCUAUACCUCAAUAUCCUUAUCUGUAAAAUAGGGAUAUAGUCACCUGUUGUUAUGUGGAUUAUAUGAUUCAAAUAUUUGUUCAGCACUUAGAACAAGUCUUCCUCACUGCAAGCACUACAUGAUGAAGAACGAGAACUUCAGAUGGAUCCUGCGGACUAUGGAAAGCAACGUUUCAAUGAUGUUCUUUAAGCCCUAAAGGAAAACUUCAGAAAACCUAAAGUGCUGUAAAAUGGAAUUCUUUCUACUUCAUUGUUUUUGACUUUUGUUGUAAAGAUCAGUUGUAAAGAUACAUUGAGAUAGAUUUAAGGAAAGAUUUUAAUGAAGAAAUGUACCCCUGUACAUAGGUGAACUUUUUCAUAUUGUAUUAUUAAAGCAGAGAUUUUUUCAGUUAUAUUACAGUCGAGCCAAAAACAAAGUAAACAAACCUGUAAUCUUUGCAUUUAAAAUGAACUAAUGUAUAUUUUACAUUUUAUUGAGCCUAAUUCUUUCCACAAAUGGACAAAUAGGAAAAAUUGGUUGUACAGUUUAUAUGUUGCACAUAGCAUAACCCUAGUGAGAAUAGUUACUCAGCUGAAAAACUUUUUAUACACUAAUAUAUUCUUGCUAGCCCAACAGGUGUUCUGUUCUAGCUACCCCUCAUCUCAUGCUCUUCAUGGAGUUAUACCUAGAAUAGUUACAUAAAAGAGGGGUUGAAUCCUGAAAGCCAAACACUGGGCAGCAUGUGUACAAAAUCAUUUCCCUACUUCUUUUAUUUUACAUGAGUGCUGAUGUGUUUUGGCAGAUAGCUUUCAGCUGAUGCCUGACAGAAGUUGAGGUAACCUGCAAAGACAUAACAAUAUUUAUGAGUUAUACCUUACUUAGUUCAUGAAAUUGUGAAAUGCAUGAUUGACAAUAUAUUUUCAAUUUUUAUUUUCUCACAUCAUACUAGUACCAUUUAACUUUAACCAUCAUUGGCUAAAAUUUUUAUAUUUUCAGAGUCCAAGUUGGUGAAAAUAUUCAUGGUUUAAAUGCCAGAUUCUGAAAGAAGCUAAAUCAACUUUGAAACAAAUCUGCAAUCAGUAUUUCAAAGCUUCUGUUGUAGUUAUAGUGAUGUUACUUGACUAGAAUUUUUCAGAAGUACUAAAUAAGGAGUUUUAACAGAUUUUUAUUAAUGCACAGAUAAGUAGAAGUACAGUGAGGUCUACAGCCAUUUUAUUAAAAUAGCUUAAAAGUUUGUAAUAAAGAUGAAGAAUCUUUGUAAUUAAUAUGUUGUUAAGAACCCAUAAACCUCAUAUUUGGUAGACUUAAAAAAUUAUUUUAAAUGCAUUUUUUUGACACUAUUCCAUAGAAUGCAUAAGCUAGUUAUAGUUAAUCUCUGCUUUUGGAUUUAAAUCUUUUAAAUUUUAUCCCCUACCCAAAAAUAAAAGGUUUUGAUGAUAAGGAGAAA